UGUCUCCGUGGCUUUGAUGAUCUGCAC
This 27-nucleotide non-coding RNA is filed under the name Rattus norvegicus (Norway rat). The record is from RNAcentral. Lineage: Eukaryota; Metazoa; Chordata; Mammalia; Rodentia; Muridae.